Brassica rapa (field mustard) is the source of this 72-nucleotide non-coding RNA. The record is from Rfam. Lineage: Eukaryota; Viridiplantae; Streptophyta; Magnoliopsida; Brassicales; Brassicaceae.
GAGUUCUUAGCUCAGUGGUAGAGCAAUUGACUGCAGAUCAAUAGGUCUCUGGUUCGAACCCUGUAGAGCCCU